Molecule: unclassified non-coding RNA, 2176 nt
Filed under: Hevea brasiliensis (rubber tree)
Lineage: Eukaryota; Viridiplantae; Streptophyta; Magnoliopsida; Malpighiales; Euphorbiaceae
Source: RNAcentral
AAAGAAGAGGGUAUCCGUUAUAUGUUCUUCAUUUCUUGUAAGUAGUUCCUUUACAAAAGUUCAUGUUUAACUCAGCUUAAAAGGGAAGGGAGCUUAUAAGAGAAAUCAAUAGUCUUGAUUUGUUUUUCCUUUUUCUUUUAGUGGCGCAAAAGGGAAGUAAGCAAUGACCACCUGUUCCAAAAGCAAUUACAAAGUUUUGUUUUUUACAUAAAUGGCAAGUGGGCUUGCGAUUAUUGUUGAUACAGGGACUCUUGAUAUGCCCUAUCACCCAGUGCAACAAAAUAGUUUUCUUGUUCUACUUUGCGUUUCAUUGUUUAGAUUCACUCCAGCAGGUUUAGGAGGGUGAGCUCUUGCCAAUCUCUUUGCUGCAAAUGGAAAGGAAAACACCAUCUAAGAAUUGCAAAAUCAAGUUCUCAUACAAGCACAUAGAAGGUAAAUGGAGAAUGACAUGUCUGAUCAGUGAUCACUAAUAAUAUCCUAGGUUAAGGUAAUUUGUAGAUGGCCCUGACUGAUCAAUGAUAUCAGAUGGGAAAUGUGAUCGACCGUCCUUGUAACUGGAUUAACAGAUCAUGAAUUUCUACCAAGAUAAAUGAAAAUAAGUUUACCUAUUUCAUAAAAAAGCUCAUUGAUAUUGUAAGCAGUUUUUGCAGAUGUUUCUGUGAAGAACAUUCCAUUCUCUUGAGCAAAUUGCUCGCCCUCCUGAAAUAUAUUAGAAAGGAAAAAGAAACAAUGGUUGAUUUUGAGAAUCGUUAUCAACAAAAUUAACAAAGAAACAGCAAUAUAAUUAGGCAGAAACAACCAAAACUUUAAGUGUAGAGAUCAUAUGACGUGUUAAUGUUUAAUUGUAUGAACAAGUGUUUGGUGUGUACAUAAUACAGCUGAUCUCUUGCAUCAACCAAAAAAUGUUAAUGUUAUUCAGCAUCUGCACACAAAAAAUAAUGAUAUGCACUUUUUUAUUGAUGCCAGGAAAGAAUACCUCAUUCUGCACCUCUCUCUUAGAAUCUAGAUCAGAUUUGUUUGCCACCAAUGCCAUAACCAUAUUAAGAUUUCCUAGAACAAUAAUAUAGGAAAUGAUAUUAUGAGUCCCAAAUCAACUACAUAUGAACAAAAUCACACUUAAAAGAAAGUAGAAAAAUAAGCAUACGACAGAAGGCUCAGCCAUCUAUUUAUGCAGAACAAAAAUAAAGAAGGGUUCAGAUUCAUUAGAAGGGAGUCAUAAUUGACAGCAAGAAUAAGAGCCCACUGUGCACACUUAAUUAAACUAAAAUGGAUUUAGAUAAAAGCACUACAGAUACUGUUGACAGCACAAUUUAGUGUAAUUGAAGAGGGGGAGAACAUAGUUUUAACUCAAGAGAAUGGAAUCAAAAUGGCAGUGUUUCACAUAAGGCAUAUUCAUUUAAUUGAUGCUGUUGAAUUCAUGAACAAAAACAAGCUACAUUCUGAUUAGAAGUUUGCAAGUUACAUUAUCACAGACUUCGAUGCUUUUGCUACUAAUCUGUGAGGAAACAUCAUAGGAAUUGGAAAAGUGAAUAUGAAAGAAUGAAAGAUUGUAAUGGAAACACAAAGCUUUAAUUAAAAUGUAUUGGGUUGGCUUUUAUUUCAAUUGGAAGCCUCACCUUGUCUUUGCAGUUCUUGAACCCAUUUUUUGGCUCUAAUGAAUGUAUCCUGCAGUAGAAUGCCAAAAUACAUCAUAGCAGAUAUUUUUUACAUAAGAAGAAGCAAGCCAGCAGAGACAGGGUCAUGUCUGAUUUGUCCCAAAGAAUUCAGUCAAGUUACCAGUAAGGUUGUUUCAAUCCUUUAAGACAACAAAUUCAGAAACUUGUACGCAACAAUUUAUUUUUAAGACUGUCAAUAAUAUGACCAAUGAAAUUGCUUAAAUCAUUGAUGGAAACAAACUACUGAGCAUAGCCACAAGAAGUAAAGGCUUGCUUACCAUGCUUGAGAUAUCAUACAUUAUUAUUGCUGCUGCUGCGCCACGAUAAUACAUUGGAGCCAAGCUAUGAUAUCUUUCUUGUCCCGCUGUGUCCCAUAUAUCAAACUUCACAGUUGCUUCAGCUAAUGAUAAUAUCUGUGUGAAAAAAGCUGCUCCUAUAGUUGGUUCCUGGUUAUCGAAGAACUGGCCCUUGAUGAAUCUUAAUACCAAACUGGUUUUCCCAGUUCCCAUGUCCCCCAGAAG